GCACAGGGUACCUUCUCCAGGACUGCAGCAGCAUGGCAGCAUAGCCAAUGGCACAGGUUGGGCAUCUCAAUCUUGUCCUGGGUCAGGCCUUAGCAGCUGUGGAACCUUAGUGCACUCACCCUCCUGGGGCCAGGUUGCACGCACAAGCUGGAGACUCCAACCUCACGGAGCUGCCCCUCCAGUGGAAAGAGGCAGGAGCCACACCACCCACAGGACGGGGAUGGAAUGUACAGCACCUGACAUGAAGACUGGGCUGUCACAUUUACACAUCAGGUAAGUCUAUCUGCUCGGGCUGAACGGUGUCCACCUAGAGAAAGCAGAAUCUUUUCUGUACUUCCACCCAAAGAGAGUGCCUUUCUCUAAGUUGCAAAAAGACUCUCUCUAAUACAGAGACCUGAAUGUUAGAAAGAGAUUUCUUUCUUUCUUUCUUUUUUUUUUUUUUUUGAUAGAGCAUUAAAUCCCUUCCAACUUGAAUAGCCUAUGAGUAGACAGCCGCAUGUUACAGAGAACACAGACUCUGAGGUUAGACAGGUAGGGUCUGGGGCCUGGUUCUGGAACUUAGGAGCUGCAUCGACUGAGGACUUGCCUAAACACCCUGAACCUCAAUUUCUUCAUCUGUAAAGAAGAAGAAUCCCUAUUGCUAUGGGAAAAAUUAUGUGCCUCCAAAAUUCAUAUGUUGAAGUCCUAAUCCCCAGGACCUCAGAAUAGGAGUCUAUUUAGAGAUAGGGUAUUUAUAGAGAUAACCAAAUUAAAUGGUAUUAUUAGAUUGAAUCCUACUUCAAUAUAACUGGCAUCCUUAUAAAAAGGGGAAGUUUGGGCACAGAGAGACACACACAGAGGGAAGGCAUUGUGAAGACAGGGAGAAGAUGCCACACAACUGGAGUGAUGCAGCCCCAAGCCAGGGCACACCCAGGGUCCCCGGUAAAUGCCAGAAGCUGGAGGCAGCCAGGGGGAUUCUGCCCUGGAGCCUUCGCAGAGGGCACGGCUCCGCCCACACUUAGAUUUCAGAGUUGUAGCCUCCAGAGCUUUAGGCAAACACAGUUUGGUUAUUAUAUGCCACACGAUUUGUG
This 1070-nucleotide long non-coding RNA is filed under the name Homo sapiens (human). RNAcentral describes it as "HSALNT0117008". Lineage: Eukaryota; Metazoa; Chordata; Mammalia; Primates; Hominidae. The record is from RNAcentral.